AGACCCGAAACCCGGUGAUCUAGCCAUGGGCAGGUUGAAGGUUGGGUAACACUAACUGGAGGACCGAACCGACUAAUGUUGAAAAAUUAGCGGAUGACCUGUGGCUGGGGGUGAAAGGCCAAUCAAACCGGGAGAUAGCUGGUUCUCCCCGAAAGCUAUUUAGGUAGCGCCUCGUGAAUUCAUCUCCGGGGGUAGAGCACUGUUUCGGCUAGGGGGCCAUCCCGGCUUACCAACCCGAUGCAAACUGCGAAUACCGGAGAAUGUUAUCACGGGAGACACACGGCGGGUGCUAACGUCCGUCGUGAAGAGGGAAACAACCCAGACCGCCAGCUAAGGUCCCAAAGUCAUGGUUAAGUGGGAAACGAUGUGGGAAGGCCCAGACAGCCAGGAUGUUGGCUUAGAAGCAGCCAUCAUUUAAAGAAAGCGUAAUAGCUCACUGGUCGAGUCGGCCUGCGCGGAAGAUGUAACGGGGCUAAACCAUGCACCGAAGCUGCGGCAGCGACACUGUGUGUUGUUGGGUAGGGGAGCGUUCUGUAAGCCUGUGAAGGUGUGUCGUGAGGCAUGCUGGAGGUAUCAGAAGUGCGAAUGCUGACAUAAGUAACGAUAAAGCGGGUGAAAAGCCCGCUCGCCGGAAGACCAAGGGUUCCUGUCCAACGUUAAUCGGGGCAGGGUGAGUCGACCCCUAAGGCGAGGCCGAAAGGCGUAGUCGAUGGGAAACGGGUUAAUAUUCCCGUACUUGGUGUUACUGCGAAGGGGGGACGGAGAAGGCUAUGUUGGCCGGGCGACGGUUGUCCCGGUUUAAGCGUGUAGGCUGGUUUUCCAGGCAAAUCCGGAAAAUCAAGGCUGAGGCGUGAUGACGAGGCACUACGGUGCUGAAGCAACAAAUGCCCUGCUUCC
RNAcentral lists this ribosomal RNA (897 nucleotides) under Salmonella enterica subsp. enterica serovar Enteritidis. RNAcentral describes it as "partial 23S ribosomal RNA". It matches the Rfam family "Bacterial large subunit ribosomal RNA", at positions 711 to 1609 of the family's 2925-position model. The record is from RNAcentral. Lineage: Bacteria; Pseudomonadati; Pseudomonadota; Gammaproteobacteria; Enterobacterales; Enterobacteriaceae.